AUUGCCACUUCGUUUUAGUAGGAAGCUCUGGAGAAAGGGGAAAGACACAUGUGGGAAAAAAGCCAACUAAGACCAGCUGCCCCUAGCCUGUCCCAGCCCCUGGAUCACUCACCUGUUUGAUGGGGAUGGCUCGCCCACUCCCUGUUGUCUCUCCCCGACUAUCCAAGCUUCGUUUCUCGGAGUCACUACCCCGACGAUUCUGGAAUGGUUAUUGGAAUCAGUUUGAGGAUGGAUAGAGGGAUACACUGAUGUGACGAUAGGGAAGAUAGAUGAAGAAGGGCCCAACAGAGGAGUCUAGGGACUAGGGAAGAUGGGCAGGUCAUGGGGGACAGGAGGAUGGGGGUCAGCAUGUCCAUGUCCAAUACCGCAAAAAGGCUGGUCCUGCGCUUGGCUGCCCGGUGCAGGGACCCUGGGGUGCUCAAUCCAGCCACUGCAGCUGCCUCGGCUCGGAGCUCCCGGUGACCAACAUUCGGUGAGGACGGGAGGGAAGAAGAGUAGUCGCUAGUGUGGCCCCCGUUACUAGCCUGGGCACAUAUGGAAGAGUCAGCAGAGCUGAGAUGCCCCCUACUCCACCAAGCUACACUCAUAUCUCGUUAUGGGGAAUUUGAGACAUUCCUUGAUCACCUCACCAUUUAUUUAUGUUGUCAUUAAUAAUUUUUAAAAUCC
This 666-nucleotide long non-coding RNA is filed under the name Homo sapiens (human). Its description in RNAcentral is "HSALNT0190028". The record is from RNAcentral. Lineage: Eukaryota; Metazoa; Chordata; Mammalia; Primates; Hominidae.